UGGGGAAUUUUGUACAAUGGGGGAAACCCUGAUCCAGCCAUCCCGCGUGUGCGAUGAAGGCCUUCGGGUUGUAAAGCACUUUUGGCAGGAAAGAAACGUCAUGGGUUAAUACCCCGUGAAACUGACGGUACCUGCAGAAUAAGCACCGGCUAACUACGUGCCAGCAGCCGCGGUAAUACGUAGGGUGCAAGCGUUAAUCGGAAUUACUGGGCGUAAAGCGUGCGCAGGCGGUUCGGAAAGAAAGAUGUGAAAUCCCAGAGCUCAACUUUGGAACUGCAUUUUUAACUACCGGGCUAGAGUGUGUCAGAGGGAGGUGGAAUUCCGCGUGUAGCAGUGAAAUGCGUAGAUAUGCGGGGGAACACCGAUGGCGAAGGCAGCCUCCUGGGAUAACACUGACGCUCAUGCACGAAAGCGUGGGGAGCAAACAGG
This 429-nucleotide ribosomal RNA is filed under the name Acidobacteriota bacterium. RNAcentral's name for it is "Acidobacteria bacterium partial 16S ribosomal RNA". It matches the Rfam family "Bacterial small subunit ribosomal RNA", at positions 355 to 776 of the family's 1533-position model. Lineage: Bacteria; Pseudomonadati; Acidobacteriota. The record is from RNAcentral.